Molecule: ribosomal RNA, 252 nt
Filed under: uncultured bacterium
Lineage: Bacteria
Description: partial 16S ribosomal RNA
Rfam family: Bacterial small subunit ribosomal RNA
Source: RNAcentral
UACGUAGGGGGCAAGCGUUGUCCGGAUUUAUUGGGCGUAAAGAGCGUGUAGGCGGCUGGGUAGGUCCGUUGUGAAAACUCGAGCUCAACCUCGAGACGCCGAUGGAAACCCUCCAGCUAGAGUCCGGAAGAGGAGAGUGGAAUUCCUGGUGUAGCGGUGAAAUGCGCAGAUAUCAGGAAGAACACCCGUGGCUAAGGCGGCUCUCUAGUACGGUACUGACGCUGAGACGCGAAAGCGUGGGGAGCGAACAGG